Molecule: long non-coding RNA, 1389 nt
Filed under: Homo sapiens (human)
Lineage: Eukaryota; Metazoa; Chordata; Mammalia; Primates; Hominidae
Description: HSALNT0106561
Source: RNAcentral
UGGCCCUUUUCUCACUGCACUCUAGUGAUUUUUGUCCUUGCACAUGACUUCAGCCAUCAGCAUCAUGCGUAGAUCUAAGACUGCAACCCAGGCCUCUCCUACAUACCCCUCUGCCUACUAGAUAUCUUUCCUUGGUGCCCUACAACAUGCUUAAAGCUGACCUCCAACCUAGAGUGGUCCUCCAUCCCUGCUUUCCCCUUAAGCCCCUACGUUCUAGCAUUCUUCCUCAGAUAAGGCUUAUACUCCUCUUCCCCACCCCUGACUGGUCUCUCUGCCUUCAGCCUCUCUCUUCUCCAAGCUAUGUCCUGUGCAGCCUUCAAGUAGGUUAUAUUUUUCUUGAAAAAAGGGCUGCACUCCAGCCUGGGCGACAGAGUGAGACACUGUCUCAAAAAAAGAGAGAAAAAAGUCUCAAAUACAAAAGCAUGCAAGUAGUUUUUUGUGUGUUUGUUUUGAACAACACAAUUAACAGGUUUGAUUUAAUAGAUUUAACCUGGCUGGGCACAGUGGCUCACGCCUGUAAUCCCAGCACUUUGGGAGGCCGAGGCGGACAGAUCACCUGAGGUCGGGAGUUUGAGACCAGCCUGACCAACAUGGAGAAACCCCGUCUCUACUAAAAAUACAAAAUUAGUUGGGUGUGGUGGCACAUGCCUGUAAUCCCAGCUACUUGGGAGGCUGAAGCAGGAGAAUCAUUUGAACCCGGGAGGUGGAGGUUGCGGUGAGCCGAGAUUGCACCAUUGCACUCCAGCCUGGGCAACAAGAGUGAAACUCUGUCUCAAAAAAAAAAAAAAAUUUAACCGAACGACUAGGUUUUUUUUUUUUUCCUCAAGCACAUAUGGAGCCUUUAGAGAUAUUAACCACCUUCUAAAGUUUCAAACGAAGUCUCAAAUACAGGCCUGGCACAGUGGCUCAUGCCUGUCAUCACAGCACUUUGGGAGGCCGACGCUGGCAGAUCACUUGAGCCCAGGCAUUUGAGACCAGUCUGGGUAACAUGGCAAAACCCCAUCUCUACAAAAAAAAUUUAAAAAUCAGUCAGGCCUAGUGGCACAUGCCUGUAGUUCCAGCUGCUUGGGAGACUGAGGUGGGAGGAUCGCUUGAGCCCAGGAGGUUGAGGCUGCAGUGGGCCAUCAGCAUGCCACUGCACUCCAGCCUGGGCGACAGAGUGAGACUCUGUCUCAAAAAAAAAGAGAAAAAAAAGUCUCAAAUACAAAAGAGCCAGUAACAUACACACCACAUUGUAUGUCUACAACAUAAUUAAAGGGUAUAUAAAAAAUAAUUGAAAAUGUAAAACACUUUUAAAUUGGUCAAAGAAGAUACCAUAAGAAAUCAGAAAAUCCUUAAAAUUGAAUUGUAAUAAAAUAUUGAAUAUUAUUUGAAAUUUGUAAUCUAUGG